UCCUUAUUUGCUCCGUAGGAGGUACUUACAGUUUCUCCUGGUACUGCAACAAACUUACCAUUGCAAAUCGUAUCUGACAUAGCUUGUGUUGCAAUUUCUUAGCGGUGGUCCUCCCGGUUUAGUGAAAUCCGAACCAGACAAAAGCGCAGUCAAAUCCCAGCCGUGGUUCCUACCAGUUCCUUGCAUCAAAAUAUCCCUGCCUUGACACCGAUCGUGAUUCAAGCACCCCAACAGAAGCAGAAAUCGCAUGGACCAACAGUAAACCACAGCAGAUACAGAUCCAGCGAACAUAAAUCUUCCAACAAUAACAACAAGGCCCCACAAUCACCAUUCAGCAGCAGAGCGCGGUGACAAUAGAUCAACAGCAAACACAAUAUGUAGGAGCUCAAAAGCUACUUUCUCUUUCGACAAACAUGUUAUGGAAGUUCACGACAUGUUAAAACGGGCUAAACGUAAGCCAGGAAAAGGUCCUUCAGACAGAUAACAUUCAGGCGGCGUUGGUGUUGGUGGCAUUUCGAAGUCUUCUCCAGGAUUGAUUUAUACUGAACAUGAAUCAAUACUCCAAGGGAUAGCUUUUGAACACGGCCAACAGUUACACAGUUGUCUUGGUCAUCAGUGACGAAUUAAGAAAAACAUUAACAAUUUAUUCAAAACAUUCAAAAAAUGAGAGCAGAAACAUGAAAAAGAAAUAAACAAACAACAGCUGAUGUCUUUUUUCAGUUAUCAAAUUCGACAUCUGACGG
Molecule: long non-coding RNA, 743 nt
Organism: Topomyia yanbarensis
Lineage: Eukaryota; Metazoa; Arthropoda; Insecta; Diptera; Culicidae
Exons: 5
Source: RefSeq, a predicted model, not a curated record